Molecule: ribosomal RNA, 2301 nt
Filed under: human metagenome
Description: bacterial LSU rRNA
Rfam family: Bacterial large subunit ribosomal RNA
Source: RNAcentral
AGGGCACACAAAGGAUGCCUAGGUAGUAAGAGCCGAUGAAGGACGUGGUAAGCUGCGAUAAGCCUAGAUAAGUUGCAAUCGAACGUAAGAGUCUAGGAUUUCCGAAUGGAGCAAUCUAUUAAGAUGGAGUCUUAAUACGAAAGAGGGAACCGCGUGAACUGAAACAUCUAAGUAACGCGAGGAAAAGAAAGUAAAAACGAUACCCAAAGUAGCGGCGAGCGAAAUGGGUCAAGCCUAAACCUUAAAUAUGUCAAGGAUACAGCCGUUGUAUUUAGGGGGUUGAGGGACAGAGUAGUGAAGAACUGUAAGAUAUUCAAUAUAGUGUAUUGAUGAAUUGGAAUUGUCUGGAAAGGCGAACCGUAGAAGGUGAAAGUCCUGUACAAGUAAAUCCUUACACAUAUAACUCUGCUCCCAAGUAACAUGGAACACGAGGAAUUCUGUGUGAAUCUGUGAGGACCAUAUCUCAUAAGGCUAAAUACUCUUACUAACCGAUAGCGCAUAGUACCGUGAGGGAAAGGUGAAAAGAACCCCUGGAGGGGAGUGAAAUAGAACCUGAAAUUGUGUGCUUACAAGCGGUCAGAGCCAGUGAUGGUGAUGGCGUGCCUUUUGGAGAAUGAUCCUGCGAGUUACGUUAAACGGCGAGGUUAAGUAUAACGGAGCCGAAGGGAAACCAAGUCUUAAUAGGGCGAUUUAGUCGUUUGGCGUAGACGCGAAACCUGGUGAUCUAAACCUGUCCAGGAUGAAGCUGUGGUAAGACACAGUGGAGGUCCUAACCCACCGCCGUUGAAAAGUUGGGGGAUGAGGUAGGUUUAGGGGUGAAAAGCCAAUCGAACCAGGAGAUAGCUCGUUCUCUCCGAAAUGCAUCUAGGUGCAGCCUUGAGUGUUCAAUUAUGGGGGUAGAGCACUGAAUGAUCUAGGGGGCGUAUUGCUUACUGAAAUCAAUCAAACUCCGAAUACCAUAAUUUAGAGCUCAGGAGUGAGACUAUGGGAGUUAACUUCCAUUGUCGAAAGGGAAACAACCCAGACCACCAGCUAAGGUCCCUAAUUAUAACUAAGUGGGAAAGGAGGUGGAGAUUCACAAACAACUAGGAGGUUGGCUUAGAAGCAGCCAUACCUUUAAAGAGUGCGUAAUAGCUCACUAGUCGAGAGUCUCUGCGCCGACAAUGUAACGGGGCUAAGUUAUAAACCGAAGCUGUGGAAUCCUUUUGGAUUGGUAGGAGAGCGUUCUGUAGGCCGUUGAAGAAGAAGGGUAACCAACUUUGGAGGUAUCAGAAGUGAGAAUGCAGGAAUAAGUAGCGAGAAAGGGGGCGAGAAUCCCCCUCGCCGGAAGACCAAGGUUUUCAGGGUAAAGCUUGUCUUCCCUGAGUAAGCCGGGACCUAAGCCCAGGCUAUAAUGCGUAGGCGAAUGGAAAACAGAUUAAUAUUUCUGUGCCAGUCAUUUAUUGUGAUGGAGGGACGCAGAAGGGUAUGCGCGCGGACGAACGGAAGUGUCCGUAGAAGUAUGUAGGAUGACUUGAUAGGAAAAUCCAUUGAGUUAUAUCUGAGGUAUGAUAUACAGUCGUAAGAUGAAUGCGCAAAUCCCACGCUGCCAAGAAAAGCUUCUAACGUUAAUAUUUGACUGCCCGUACUGCAAACCGACACAGGUGGUCAGGAUGAGAAAUCUAAGGCGGACAGGCUAACUCUCGUUAAGGAACUCUGCAAAAUAACCUCGUAACUUCGGGAGAAGAGGAGCCCUUGAGGGUCAGUAUCCACGCGAUACAAAGCGCUCGAGGGUCGCAGUGAAGAGGCUCAAGCAACUGUUUAACAAAAACACAGGUCUAUGCUAAGCUGGAAGGCGAUGUAUAUGGGCUGACACCUGCCCAGUGCUGGAAGGUUAAGAGGAGGAGUGAGAGCUCCGAAUUGAAGCCCCAGUGAACGGCGGCCGUAACUAUAACGGUCCUAAGGUAGCGAAAUUCCUUGUCGGGUAAGUUCCGACCUGCACGAAUGGUGUAAUGAUUUGAGCGCUGUCUUGACGGGAGGCCUGGUGAAAUUGUAUUACCGGUGAAGAUACCGGUUACCUACAGUAGGACGGAAAGACCCCAUGGAGCUUUACUGUAGCUUGGUAUUGGGUUUUGGCAUUGCAUGUAUAGGAUAGUUGGGAGACUAUGAUGAUAUGGCGCUAGCUGUAUCGGAGUCAUCGGUGGAAUACCAACCAUUCAAUGCUGAAAUUCUAAUCUGUGGUUUGUAGCCACGGAGACAGUGCUAGGUGGGCAGUUUGACUGGGGCGGUCGCCUCCCAAAGAGUAACGGAGGCGUUCAAAGG